This 518-nucleotide long non-coding RNA is filed under the name Panax ginseng (ginseng). Its description in RNAcentral is "long non-coding RNA (PGIN_LNC018627)". The record is from RNAcentral. Lineage: Eukaryota; Viridiplantae; Streptophyta; Magnoliopsida; Apiales; Araliaceae.
AGAAAUAAGAGAAAAUAAAUGAUUUGAUCAAAUAAUAUUACUAUGAUUCGAGAGAAAAUAAGACAAGCAUCUACUCGACACUACAACAAAAGUAUAUAUAUAUAUAUAUAUAUAUAUAUAUAUAUACGUCUAAAUUAAUCGAACUUUAUGGGCAGCAGAGAAAUGCUUAGCAGCAGCAACCAUGGUAGCCUCUGGCCCAAUAGGUGCUGCACCUUUUGAUGACUUGUUCACAAUAUUAUUUCUUGAUCUGCACUUUUUACCUGCUACUACAUAACACAACCAUGACACCACUAUUGAUGAGAAUCCACUCACUUUCUUAUCCUUGCUGCUCAUCGCAACCACAAUUCAAGGAACUAUUUGACUUUAGAUGGGCUGGAAUUUAUUGGAGAUAUAAUUUUCUUGGUUAAUUGAUGAAAUAUAUAGAAGGCCACUUGAUGAACCCUUUAUAUGAGCUCACAUUAAUUUCUUGGUGAGCAAGAUUAACUUGGGUUUGAUUGAUGAAUUAUAAAGAAGGCCAC